GACGAACGCUGGCGGCGUGCUUAACACAUGCAAGUGGAGCGACGAACCAGGGCUUGCCCUGGGGCAGAGCCGCGAACGGGUGAGUAACACGUGGGUAACGUGCCCCGAUGAUCGGGACAACCCGGGGAAACCCGGGCUAAUACCGAAUGUGCUCCCCUCACACCAGUGAGGGAUGGAAAGGAAGCUUCGGCCUCCGCAUCGGGAUCGGCCCGCGGCCCAUUAGCUUGUUGGUGAGGUAACGGCUCACCAAGGCUGCGAUGGGUAGCUGGUCUGAGAGGACGAUCAGCCACACUGGGACUGAGACACGGCCCAGACUCCUACGGGAGGCAGCAGUGGGGAAUCUUGCGCAAUGCG
This 354-nucleotide ribosomal RNA is filed under the name uncultured bacterium. Its description in RNAcentral is "bacterial SSU rRNA". It matches the Rfam family "Bacterial small subunit ribosomal RNA", at positions 28 to 375 of the family's 1533-position model. The record is from RNAcentral.